This 77-nucleotide microRNA precursor is filed under the name Dufourea novaeangliae. Its description in RNAcentral is "mir-980 microRNA precursor family". It matches the Rfam family "mir-980 microRNA precursor family". Lineage: Eukaryota; Metazoa; Arthropoda; Insecta; Hymenoptera; Halictidae. The record is from Rfam by way of RNAcentral.
GCUACGUUGCGGCUCAUCAUCGGGCAACUUUGCUUUCUUUGCAACGCAAGCUGCCUUUUGAAGGGCAAUACCGUAAC